UACGAAGGGGGCUAGCGUUGUUCGGAUUUACUGGGCGUAAAGCGCGUGUAGGCGGGUCGUUAAGUUGGGGGUGAAAUCCCGAGGCUCAACCUCGGAACUGCCUUCAAAACUGGCGACCUGGAGCAAAGAAGAGGCGAGUGGAAUUGCGAGUGUAGAGGUGAAAUUCGUAGAUAUUCGCAGGAACACCAGUGGCGAAGGCGACUCGCUGGUCUUUUGCUGACGCUGAGACGCGAAAGCGUGGGGAGCGAACAGG
Molecule: ribosomal RNA, 253 nt
Filed under: uncultured bacterium
Lineage: Bacteria
Description: partial 16S ribosomal RNA
Rfam family: Bacterial small subunit ribosomal RNA
Source: RNAcentral